GGUAGGGUUAGGGUAGGGUAAGAGGUAGGAGUAGGUUUAGGGGCAGGGUUAGAAAUAGGGUUACCCUACCCUAACCCUACCCCUACCCCAACCACUACCCCAACCACUACCCCUACCCCAACCCUUAACCCUACCCCUAAACCUACCUCUACCCCAACCACUAACCCUACC
This is a non-coding RNA of Pelobates cultripes (western spadefoot toad), 171 nucleotides long. NCBI's taxonomy places the organism in Eukaryota, Metazoa, Chordata, Amphibia, Anura, Pelobatidae. The record is from the annotation of a GenBank genome assembly.